Molecule: ribosomal RNA, 301 nt
Filed under: uncultured bacterium
Lineage: Bacteria
Description: partial 16S ribosomal RNA
Rfam family: Bacterial small subunit ribosomal RNA
Source: RNAcentral
CAGUAGCCGCGGGAAUACGGAGGGAGCUAGCGUUGUUCGUAAUUACUGGGCGUAAAGCGCGCGUAGGCGGUUACUCAAGUCAGAGGUGAAAGCCCGGGGCUCAACCCCGGAACUGCCUUUGAAACUAGGUGACUAGAAUCUUGGAGAGGUCAGUGGAAUUCCGAGUGUAGAGGUGAAAUUCGUAGAUAUUCGGAAGAACACCAGUGGCGAAGGCGACUGACUGGACAAGUAUUGACGCUGAGGUGCGAAAGCGUGGGGAGCAAACAGGAUUAGAUACCCGCGUAGUCCCUGUCUCUUAUAC